GCACUGGGGGAAAGGGAGAGUAUCAUGGUUACAGCUGGAUCACCUAAGGCAGAGAGGGAAGGAACCAACAGGUAUAUGAAGAAGACUGUAUUUCCUCCUCAGGAAGAAAAAAUCACCUAUAAGAUCCAUGGCUAUAACUGCUACCAAGCUCUGGGCUGCAGUAGUGUAUCAUCCAUAACGCAAAUAAGGUGCCUAAACCCUAUAUUGAAGGCUACAGAGAGGACUACAUUGAGACUUGGCAAAGUCCUAUAGAAGUUUUGUUUUCUUAUGGUAAACUGCAUUCAUUUUGUGAAUUAUGAAGAAUGCAGUGUUUCAAAAUGUGUGUACAUCAAAGAUCCUGCAUGACCUUGCCGGUGUUUAUUUCUCCAUUUUAAGACUCUUUUUCUUUCAACCAUUCCAAACUUCAGAUCUUACAUCACAAUAUUCUAUCAAGAAAUUGCAUGGGGACCGGAGUCA
Molecule: long non-coding RNA, 456 nt
Filed under: Homo sapiens (human)
Lineage: Eukaryota; Metazoa; Chordata; Mammalia; Primates; Hominidae
Description: long independently transcribed non-coding RNA 1609 (LINC01609)
Source: RNAcentral